CCAGCCUACGGGGGGCAGCAGUAGGGAAUUUUCGUCAAUGGGCGCAAGCCUGAACCAGCAAUGUCGCGUGAACGAGGAAGGUCCUCGGAUCGUAAAGUUCUGUUGAAGGGGAAAAAGAGCGGAGAGAGGAAAUGCUUUCUGAUUGAUAUUACCCUUCGAGGAAGUCACGGCUAACUACGUGCCCGCAGCCGCGGCAAUACGUAGGUGGCGAGCGUUAUCCGGAAUGAUUGGG
RNAcentral lists this ribosomal RNA (232 nucleotides) under uncultured bacterium. RNAcentral describes it as "partial 16S ribosomal RNA". It matches the Rfam family "Bacterial small subunit ribosomal RNA", at positions 335 to 558 of the family's 1533-position model. The record is from RNAcentral.